This 497-nucleotide ribosomal RNA is filed under the name uncultured bacterium. Its description in RNAcentral is "partial 16S ribosomal RNA". It matches the Rfam family "Bacterial small subunit ribosomal RNA", at positions 28 to 507 of the family's 1533-position model. The record is from RNAcentral.
GAUGAACGCUGGCGGCGUGCCUAAUACAUGCAAGUCGAGCGAACAGACGAGGAGCUUGCUCCUCUGACGUUAGCGGCGGACGGGUGAGUAACACGUGGAUAACCUACCUAUAAGACUGGGAUAACUUCGGGAAACCGGAGCUAAUACCGGAUAAUAUAUUGUACCGCAUGGAUCAAUAGUGAAAGACGGUUUUGCUGUCACUUAUAGAUGGAUCCGCGCCGCAUUAGCUAGUUGGUAAGGUAACGGCUUACCAAGGCGACGAUGCGUAGCCGACCUGAGAGGGUGAUCGGCCACACUGGAACUGAGACACGGUCCAGACUCCUACGGGAGGCAGCAGUAGGGAAUCUUCCGCAAUGGGCGAAAGCCUGACGGAGCAACGCCGCGUGAGUGAUGAAGGUCUUCGGAUCGUAAAACUCUGUUAUUAGGGAAGAACAAAUGUGUAAGUAACUAUGCACGUCUUGACGGUACCUAAUCAGAAAGCCACGGCUAACUACGUG